UCUUGUCAUGCCAUACUUGGGGUUUCAAGCCGUCCUUUCAACAUGUCUUGGGGUCAUGAUGGCCCUACUUUGUCAUUGUAGUUACCAGCUAUUUUAUUGAGGAUUCCGAAGGUCCGGCUGUUAGGAAGCGCACUUGUCACGUAUGGCUAUGAUGUGAUAUCGAGAUGUUGCCUCCAUUGUGGCCAUUCCUUUUUGGGGCUAUGAGUUUCCUUCCAUUAUCCUUUUAUAUGGAGCCUGAUAGGGUCAUAACAAUGAUGUCUAGACUUCGUCUUCAUCCUCUUCAUCUUCUUCCUUUGCAUCUGUUGUCCUUACGGUGGUGGUGCAGCGGCUGAUGUGUCUGGCUGUUGGUGCUCUUUAAAGGAUCAUCUGUCAUUUGUUUGUUUUAUGCACUCCUUCAUUUUCCUUAUAAAACAUUAAGUGUUUCUUCCUUUUUUAUUCUUUCCUUUCUUUUCUUUAGCUAUGGUUUCUGCCGCUUCCUUUGUAGACUAUGGCAAGUCAUCUAACCCUGAUGUUAGGGCGUCGAUUCUGGGAUCUGCUCCUUGCGCUGGUACUUCACACCAUCGUAAGAAGGUUGCUAAGAGGCCUCCUCGCUAGAAGCAUAAGGGUAAGAUUACCCUGGGGUAUACCGCUAAAUCAUAUACAACGUCAGAAUUAUCCAUUGGUCAAGUUUUUUCUCGGUUGACAGCGAGAGAAAUAGGAAGAUUUAGGGAGAUCUAUCACAUCCUAGACUACCCAUUGGUUAGGUUUUUUCUCGAUUGACAACGAGAGAAAUAGGGAGAUUUAGAGAUAUCUAUCACAUCCUAGACUCGAUGUCACUUAGGCUUCCCAAAGCAUGGGAGAGGGCUAACGGUGGGAGACAGGGUGAGGCUUGCUUUUAUGAACAUGCCCUCAUGACUGGUCUUCAGUUUCCCAUUCCUAAAUUUCUUUUUGGGUUCUCCGCAACUAUAGGGUUGGGAGAGGGUUACGGUGGGAGAGAGGGUGAGGCUUGCUUUUAUGAACAUGCCCUUAUGAGUGGUCUUUGGUUUCCCAUUCAUGAAUUUCUGUCUCAGGUGCUCUGCAACUAUAGGGUUUCCCAACGUAGCUUGUUCCUAAUGCCUGGAAGGUCAUUGUGGCCUUCGUUAUCAGGUGUGGUCGGAUAAAGAGAACCCCUACCAUGAAUCUGUUCGUGAAUGUCUUCAUCUUGAUCACCAAUCGCAACUUUCUUGGGUGGUUCUAUUUCAAGAGCAGGGAUAGAUUGGAUUUGGUCUUAGAUAAUAUGCAAACCUCAAUCCAUAGGUGGAAGGAUAAGUUUUUCUUUGCCAAGGACUCAAGGCCAUUCAAAUAUCUGACUUCCUGGUUGGUAGUGAACACUUGCAAGGGUAAUGUGGCUCCAACAAUUGGGGAUGAGGAGAAUGAAACCCAUUAGUUGCUGAAGGUUCCUAUCCAUGUGGUGGUUAGUUCUGAGACUUCAGAUGACAAUUUUUUGGGAUGUACGGCCUUAGUCCUGGUGGGCUUUGCUAGUAUUAUGUGGCGAUUAAUCAGAGUCUCCUCUUAGAGGUUUUGGAUGAGAUGGAGGAAGAAGAGGCUCAGAGGGGAGACACUCAGGAAGGGAUAGCCUAAGAGGGAGGCAUUGGUGCUACCUCAAUGGCUAUUGUUCAGGAGGUCAUGCGCAAAUGGGUUCCUAUCAACCCAAUGAGUCUGAUUCGUCCUCUGAUAAGAUUCCUCUGGCUUCCUAAAAACAUAGACGUCAAGAAAGGGAAAGUGAGUUGAAUAAGAGGAAGAGGAAUGUGGCUGUUGUCCUUCCACAAGAGCCUGGUACAAAUGUGGUUGGUGGUCCUUAGGUUUCUUCGGCCCACUCUUCGCAUGGCGGUGUUUUUCGAAAUGAAAGGGCAGAGGUCAUGGCUAAUUACAGGGAGUCCCUUGGAAUUCAUACGAAUUUUGAGGCGGAGUUCUUAGCUAUUAUCUCAGGUAUAGAGAAGGCUGAAAUUCUGGGAGUUCAAAAGUUGUGGAUAGAAUGUGACUCGGUUGUUGUGGUAACUCUGAUUCUCAAAAACAAAGUUCCUUGGAUUGUUCAUCGGAGGUGGAUUCUCUGUCAGAAGUAUUUGGAGUGUGUGGACUGGAAAAUCACUCACUGCUAUUGGGAAACAAAUUCUAUAGCAGAUUUUCUAUCAAAAUCAGCUGCUCAUUUUGAGAUUUCAGACCCAGUGAGCACCUGGCCUGCUUUGGUCAAGAUGGAUCUAGACAUUGAUGCUUUGGGUCAUCCUAGAUAUAGGAUGACUUAGUUUUUCUUUUUCUAUUCUUUGAUUGUCAUUGUCGGGGUGUGGAGUUUUUAGAAACUCUUUUCUAUUGAUGCAAUGCCGAAGGUGGAAUAGUGUUUCUUCCCUUCAUACUUUUAUCUUAGCGAGGUUUUCCCAAAUCUCCAAUCAGUUCCCUGUAAUAUUUUUUCAUUCUUUUCUUUUUUUAAUAUAAAUAAUCUUUAGUGAAAAAAAGA
Molecule: long non-coding RNA, 2470 nt
Organism: Macadamia integrifolia
Lineage: Eukaryota; Viridiplantae; Streptophyta; Magnoliopsida; Proteales; Proteaceae
Exons: 2
Source: RefSeq, a predicted model, not a curated record